GAUUCUUCUUCCUUAUCGCAGGAUUGUAGUGAAUAACUCCAACAACUUUGUAAUGGGCUCCAAAUAUUUUCUCCACAAGCCAUCCAUUACUUUACCAACAAUAUACAAGUCGAUUCCUGUACUUUUUAAAACCCAAAGACUCAUCUUUUCAGCAUUUGCUUCAAAACCCAUAUCCCCAAAUCGCGGAACUUCAAGCUUCUCAUACAGACCUCAACGAAUUCCUCCUCCAGUUUCUGGAGUAAUGCUGGAAGAUCCGAAGGAGGAUAUUACAGAGUCAGACCACGAGAAGGC
This 291-nucleotide unclassified non-coding RNA is filed under the name Hevea brasiliensis (rubber tree). The record is from RNAcentral. Lineage: Eukaryota; Viridiplantae; Streptophyta; Magnoliopsida; Malpighiales; Euphorbiaceae.